Molecule: ribosomal RNA, 484 nt
Filed under: uncultured bacterium
Lineage: Bacteria
Description: partial 16S ribosomal RNA
Rfam family: Bacterial small subunit ribosomal RNA
Source: RNAcentral
AUUGAACGCUGGCGGCAUGCUUUACACAUGCAAGUCGAACGGCAGCGCGGGCUUCGGCCUGGCGGCGAGUGGCGAACGGGUGAGUAAUACAUCGGAACGUGCCCAGUAGUGGGGGAUAGCUCGGCGAAAGCCGGAUUAAUACCGCAUACGACCUGAGGGUGAAAGCGGGGGAUCUUCGGACAUCGCGCUAUUGGAGCGGCCGAUGGCAGAUUAGCUAGUUGGUGGGGUAAAGGCCUACCAAGGCGACGAUCUGUAGCUGGUCUGAGAGGACGACCAGCCACACUGGGACUGAGACACGGCCCAGACGCCUACGGGAGGCAGCAGUGGGGAAUUUUGGACAAUGGGCGAAAGCCUGAUCCAGCAAUGCCGCGUGUGUGAUGAAGGCCUUCGGGUUGUAAAGCACUUUUGGCGGGAACGAAAAGGACUGUGCCAAUACCACGGUUCGAUGACGGUACCCGCAGAAUAAGCACCGGCUAACUACGUG